ACCCUAGACCUCGAACUAUUAGAUUUUAUGAAACGUAUGUUUGUUUGCAUUAAAUUAUCCAAUAUAAGGUUAUUCAAAACAUAAAGGUUUUUAAAGUUUGAACCUUUUGAAAAUCAUAAAAAAUGGAGAAAAAAAAAACUCCAGCAGCCUACAUCAUGGCUUGAAAAAAAAUAAUAAAAAGACAGCAUGACAUUUAUUUAAAAAAAAAAUCCUUGCUAAACAAACACUUAUAUGAGGGGGAAGAGAGGGAGAGGGAGGGAAAUACAAGCUACUGAAAAAAAAUAGAAUAAAACACCACUUUUUUUUGGUGGGAAUGAAAGCUUUAAAUUGUAAAGAGCACAGUAUAUAGUGCAACUCACAUAAAAUUACAGUAGUCCUAUAGCGCAGCAAAAGACACCAGGACGAGCCCAGUAAAUAAGAUGAGACAGGGCCAUACAGAACGCAACAGUGAUAAGAAGCCCUGGCCAUACAUACGAGAGUUAAUAACAAAGUAUAUAGAGUAAAGAUAAUUAGAGGAUAUUGCAAGAAGACAAGGAGGCCCCGGGCA
RNAcentral lists this long non-coding RNA (547 nucleotides) under Elaeis guineensis (African oil palm). RNAcentral's name for it is "long non-coding RNA (EGUI_LNC005935)". The record is from RNAcentral. Lineage: Eukaryota; Viridiplantae; Streptophyta; Magnoliopsida; Arecales; Arecaceae.